AAAACUCCAUCUCCAAACAAAAAAAGAAAAAAAAAGAAAAAGAAAAAGAAUGAAAUAAUGUCUUUUUCGGCAACUUGGAUGGAGCUGGAGGCUGUUAUUCUAAGUGAAGUAACUCAGGAAUGGAAAACCAAAUACUGUAUGUUCUCACUCAGAAGUGAGAGCUAAGCUAUCAGUACACAAAGGCAUGUGGAGUGGUAUGAUGGACACUAGAGACUCAGAAAGGGGAGGGUGGGAGUGGGUGAAGGAUAAAAAACUGUAAAAUGGAUACAAUGUAUACUACUUGGGUGAUGGGUGCACUAAAAUCUCAGAAUUCACCACUAUAUAAUCCAUCCAUGUAACCAAAAACCACUUGUACGCCAAAAGCCAUUGAAAUAAAAAAAAUUAAAACAAUAAAAAAGGUGAAAAAAAAAGAAAAUAAAAACACACCUGUCCAAGCUAGGUGUGGUGGUGCAUGCCUAUAGUCCUAGAUACUCAGGAGGCUGAGGGCGGAGGAUUAUUUGAGCCCAGAAGUUCGAGGUCAACCUGGGUGACAUAGUGAGAUCCCAUCUCUAAAAAAUAAACCAAUCAACAAACAACCCCUUCCCCACUUGCCACAAAACACACCUUUCCCAAAGAAAGUAUAUAUACCAGAAGAAAUAAUGCCCUUCUUCUGGUAUGUAAGAAUUCCCGGCCGGGUGUGAGCCACCGCGCCCGGCCGAGAUGGAGCUUUCUCUCGGAAGUGUUUCCAGAUUCCCCAAAUGUCAGUUAGUUAAACAUUCUUCCUUCUUUGCUCCCAAAUCUCAGUCUGCUGACCCCUCUUAACACUCUUGUCACACUAUAUUGUAAUUCUUACUUCUCUGCCUCCUUCACUGGGAUAUAAGCUCCAUAAGGGUAGGAUUUUUUCUCUCUUCUUCUCUGCUGUGUAUCCCUUGCUCCUAGUACAGUGCCUGGCCCACAAUAUCUGUUCAGCAAAUGUCAAGUCAAUAAAUAGUUUGGUCUUAUGUUACAGCUUGUUUUAAUUCCAC
This 1004-nucleotide long non-coding RNA is filed under the name Homo sapiens (human). RNAcentral describes it as "HSALNT0285755". The record is from RNAcentral. Lineage: Eukaryota; Metazoa; Chordata; Mammalia; Primates; Hominidae.